GACGGAGGAUGCAAGCGUUAUCCGGAAUGAUUGGGCGUAAAGGGUGCGUAGGCGGUUUGAUAAGUCUAAGGUGAAAGUUCGGAGCUUAACUCCGGAUUGCCUUAGAAACUGUCAGACUAGAGUGCAGGAGAGGGCAAUGGAAUUCCAUGUGUAGCGGUAAAAUGCGUAGAUAUAUGGAGGAACACCAGUGGCGAAGGCGGUUGCCUGGCCUGUAACUGACGCUGAAGCACGAAAGCGUGGGGAGCAAAUAGG
Molecule: ribosomal RNA, 252 nt
Filed under: uncultured bacterium
Lineage: Bacteria
Description: partial 16S ribosomal RNA
Rfam family: Bacterial small subunit ribosomal RNA
Source: RNAcentral